RNAcentral lists this ribosomal RNA (468 nucleotides) under uncultured bacterium. Its description in RNAcentral is "partial 16S ribosomal RNA". It matches the Rfam family "Bacterial small subunit ribosomal RNA", at positions 28 to 507 of the family's 1533-position model. The record is from RNAcentral.
GACGAACGCUGGCGGCGUGCUUAACACAUGCAAGUCGAACGGAAAGGCCCUGCUUUUGUGGGGUGCUCGAGUGGCGAACGGGUGAGUAACACGUGAGUAACCUGCCCUUGACUUUGGGAUAACUUCAGGAAACUGGGGGUAAUACCGGAUAGGAGCUCCUGCUGCCUGGUGGGGGUUGGAAAGGUUCGGCGGUUGGGGGUGGACUCGCGGCUUAUCAGCUUGUUGGUGGGGUAGUGGCUUACCAAGGCUUUGACGGGUAGCCGGCCUGAGAGGGUGACCGGCCACAUUGGGACUGAGAUACGGCCCAGACUCCUACGGGAGGCAGCAGUGGGGAAUAUUGCACAAUGGGCGGAAGCCUGAUGCAGCAACGCCGCGUGCGGGAUGACGGCCUUCGGGUUGUAAACCGCUUUCGCCUGUGACGAAGCGUGAGUGACGGUAAUGGGUAAAGAAGCACCGGCUAACUACGUG